Molecule: ribosomal RNA, 505 nt
Filed under: uncultured bacterium
Lineage: Bacteria
Description: partial 16S ribosomal RNA
Rfam family: Bacterial small subunit ribosomal RNA
Source: RNAcentral
GACGAACGCUGGCGGCGUGCCUAAUACAUGCAAGUAGAACGCACAGUUUAUACCGUAGCUUGCUACACCAUAGACUGUGAGUUGCGAACGGGUGAGUAACGCGUAGGUAACCUGCCUGGUAGCGGGGGAUAACUAUUGGAAACGAUAGCUAAUACCGCAUAAUAUUGAUUAUUGCAUGAUAAUUGAUUGAAAGAUGCUAUUGCAUCACUACCAGAUGGACCUGCGUUGUAUUAGCUAGUAGGUGAGGUAACGGCUCACCUAGGCGACGAUACAUAGCCGACCUGAGAGGGUGAUCGGCCACACUGGGACUGAGACACGGCCCAGACUCCUACGGGAGGCAGCAGUAGGGAAUCUUCGGCAAUGGACGAAAGUCUGACCGUGCAACGCCGCGUGAGUGAAGAAGGUUUUCGGAUCGUAAAGCUCUGUUGUAAGAGAAGAACGGGUGUGAGAGUGGAAAGUUCACACUGUGACGGUAUCUUACCAGAAAGGGACGGCUAACUACGUG